Molecule: ribosomal RNA, 725 nt
Filed under: Microbacterium sp. W22B21
Lineage: Bacteria; Bacillati; Actinomycetota; Actinomycetes; Micrococcales; Microbacteriaceae
Description: bacterial SSU rRNA
Rfam family: Bacterial small subunit ribosomal RNA
Source: RNAcentral
GCUANNCUGGCGGCGUGCUUACACAUGCAAGUCGAACGGUGAACACGGAGCUUGCUCUGUGGGAUCAGUGGCGAACGGGUGAGUAACACGUGAGCAACCUGCCCCUGACUCUGGGAUAAGCGCUGGAAACGGCGUCUAAUACUGGAUAUGUGACGUGACCGCAUGGUCUGCGUUUGGAAAGAUUUUUCGGUUGGGGAUGGGCUCGCGGCCUAUCAGCUUGUUGGUGAGGUAAUGGCUCACCAAGGCGUCGACGGGUAGCCGGCCUGAGAGGGUGACCGGCCACACUGGGACUGAGACACGGCCCAGACUCCUACGGGAGGCAGCAGUGGGGAAUAUUGCACAAUGGGCGAAAGCCUGAUGCAGCAACGCCGCGUGAGGGAUGACGGCCUUCGGGUUGUAAACCUCUUUUAGCAGGGAAGAAGCGAAAGUGACGGUACCUGCAGAAAAAGCGCCGGCUAACUACGUGCCAGCAGCCGCGGUAAUACGUAGGGCGCAAGCGUUAUCCGGAAUUAUUGGGCGUAAAGAGCUCGUAGGCGGUUUGUCGCGUCUGCUGUGAAAUCCCGAGGCUCAACCUCGGGCCUGCAGUGGGUACGGGCAGACUANAGUGCGGUAGGGGAGAUUGGAAUUCCUGGUGUANCGGUGGAAUGCGCANAUUUCAGGAGGAACACCGAUGGCGAANGCAGAUCUCUGGGCCGUAACUGACNCUNAAGAACGAAAGGGUGGGG